GAUGAACGCUGGCGGCGUGCUUAACACAUGCAAGUCGAACGAAGCACUUUAUUUGAUUUCCUUCGGGACUGAUUAUUUUGUGACUGAGUGGCGGACGGGUGAGUAACUCGGGGGUAACCUGCCUUGUACAGGGGGAUAACAGUUGGAAACGGCUGCUAAUACCGCAUAAGCGCACAGCAUCGCAUGAUUCAGUGUGAAAAACUCCGGUGGUAUAAGAUGGACCCGCGUUGGAUUAGCUAGUUGGUGAGGUAACGGCCCACCAAGGCGACGAUCCAUAGCCGACGUGAGAGGGUGACCGGCCACAUUGGGACUGAGACACGGCCCAAACUCCUACGGGAGGCAGCAGUGGGGAAUAUUGCACAAUGGGCGAAAGCCUGAUGCAGCGACGCCGCGUGAGCGAAGAAGUAUUUCGGUAUGUAAAGCUCUAUCAGCAGGGAAGAUAAUGACGGUACCUGACUAAGAAGCACCGGCUAAAUACGUG
Molecule: ribosomal RNA, 481 nt
Filed under: uncultured bacterium
Lineage: Bacteria
Description: partial 16S ribosomal RNA
Rfam family: Bacterial small subunit ribosomal RNA
Source: RNAcentral